UACGUAGGGGGCUAGCGUUGUCCGGAUUUACUGGGCGUAAAGGGCGCGUAGGCGGCCACCGCAAGUCGACUGUGAAAUCUCCGGGCUUAACCCGGAAAGGUCAGCCGAUACUGCGGGGCUAGAGUGCAGAAGGGGCAACUGGAAUUCUCGGUGUAGCGGUGAAAUGCGUAGAUAUCGAGAGGAACACCUGCGGCGAAGGCGGGUUGCUGGGCUGACACUGACGCUGAGGCGCGAAAGCGUGGGGAGCAAACCGG
RNAcentral lists this ribosomal RNA (254 nucleotides) under uncultured bacterium. RNAcentral's name for it is "partial 16S ribosomal RNA". It matches the Rfam family "Bacterial small subunit ribosomal RNA", at positions 524 to 776 of the family's 1533-position model. The record is from RNAcentral.